Molecule: long non-coding RNA, 1036 nt
Organism: Gasterosteus aculeatus aculeatus (three-spined stickleback)
Lineage: Eukaryota; Metazoa; Chordata; Actinopteri; Perciformes; Gasterosteidae
Source: Ensembl
GGGUUUGUUUUGGAGGUAACGUGAUGAAGUUUAUUUGGUCCAAUGGGACAUCUGGACCGUUGGACCGUCCUUUGGUUUCACACUGGACAUGAAAGUGUUGCUGUAAGUCUUUGUUUCUUUAACACGUUCACGCCUUAUUAACCACCCGACCUGGUUGAGUUAACCGACCUGUUAAGGUCCAUUUACCGAUCCAAUGAAUGACGUAAAGGAAGAGCGACGGACUUCAGACCGGUUUGUUUCAGCAGUCCAACGUGCACGCUCCUCAUCUUUGGGCUCGAGGUGGACCUCACAUAUGAAGACGGUUUCACAAGACCUCAAGUUGCAGAUAAAAGUGAACGUCUUCAUGUGUCCCCGUCUUCUUUAACUUGUUUCCUUUAGUUUCUAACGUUCUCUUUUCUCAAGAAAAUAUGUAAACGUCGGUGAAUGAAAAGAUAUCAAAGGCAGAACGACUUUCUGGAGUAAGAUGUAACUACUUCUACUACUACUACUAUUACUACUACUAAUAGUACUACUACUAGGGAGGUUUUAGCUUUAAGACAGAUACAUUUCUGCGUGUUCUUAUGAAGAAAGUAAAAUGUUCUCUGUAAAUACUUAGUUACUUUAGUUUGCUUUGGGUUUUUCACUAAAUGGGUUGAUUAUGAAGAUGAAAGUGAAGAAUGUGACCUCGGUCACUUUAUUACUCGCAGGUUGAUGUGCUCCUCUGAUUCCUCUCCAGGCAGAUUGAUAAUAUCAGCGGAUGUAAAUAUGAACACAAGCUUUGGAAACGUUUUUAUUUCUCUUAUUGUCUCUAUGAUUUAAGAUGCACAUAAUUACCAUUAUUCUAACAGUGCUGAAUAAGCACGUUUACGUUCAGGACUAUUCUGUGAACCCGUUUUGUUUCUAAUGAGACAAAGUGUGAUUAUUUCAAAUGUUAACAUGGAUUUCUUUUCUCUCCUGUUUGGUUUUUUGUCCCACGUGGAUUAUAUUCCAAUAACACCGUGUUCUGUUAACGAGGAAAAGCCAAUAAAAGCUCAGUUGUGUACCUUUGUUUGUUCCG